RNAcentral lists this ribosomal RNA (497 nucleotides) under uncultured bacterium. RNAcentral describes it as "partial 16S ribosomal RNA". It matches the Rfam family "Bacterial small subunit ribosomal RNA", at positions 28 to 507 of the family's 1533-position model. The record is from RNAcentral.
GAUGAACGCUGGCGGCGUGCCUAAUACAUGCAAGUCGAGCGAACGGACGAGAAGCUUGCUUCUCUGAUGUUAGCGGCGGACGGGUGAGUAACACGUGGAUAACCUACCUAUAAGACUGGGAUAACUUCGUGAAACCGGAUCUAAUACCGGAUGAUAUUUUGAACCGCAUGGUUCAAAAGUGAAAGACGGUCUUGCUGUCACUUAUAGAUGGAUCCGCGCUGCAUUAGCUAGUUGGUAAGGUAACGGCUUACCAAGGCAACGAUGCAUAGCCGACCUGAGAGGGUGAUCGGCCACACGGGAACUGAGACACGGUACAGACUCCUACGGGAGGAAGCAGUAGGGAAUCUUCCGCAAUGGGCGAAAGCCUGACGGAGCAACGCCGCGUGAGUGAUGAAGGUCUUCGGAUCGUAAAACUCUGUUAUUAGGGAAGAAAAUAUGUGUAAGUAACUGUGCACAUCUUGACGGUACCUAAUCAGAAAGCAACGGCUAACUACGUG